This 708-nucleotide ribosomal RNA is filed under the name uncultured Pseudoalteromonas sp. RNAcentral describes it as "bacterial SSU rRNA". It matches the Rfam family "Bacterial small subunit ribosomal RNA", at positions 83 to 793 of the family's 1533-position model. Lineage: Bacteria; Pseudomonadati; Pseudomonadota; Gammaproteobacteria; Alteromonadales; Pseudoalteromonadaceae. The record is from RNAcentral.
AGUAGAUGACGAGCGGCGGACGGGUGAGUAAUGCUUGGGAACAUGCCUUGAGGUGGGGGACAACAGUUGGAAACGACUGCUAAUACCGCAUAAUGUCUACGGACCAAAGGGGGCUUCGGCUCUCGCCUUUAGAUUGGCCCAAGUGGGAUUAGCUAGUUGGUGAGGUAAUGGCUCACCAAGGCGACGAUCCCUAGCUGGUUUGAGAGGAUGAUCAGCCACACUGGGACUGAGACACGGCCCAGACUCCUACGGGAGGCAGCAGUGGGGAAUAUCGCACAAUGGGCGCAAGCCUGAUGCAGCCAUGCCGCGUGUGUGAAGAAGGCCUUCGGGUUGUAAAGCACUUUCAGUCAGGAGGAAAGGUUAGUAGUUAAUACCUGCUAGCUGUGACGUUACUGACAGAAGAAGCACCGGCUAACUCCGUGCCAGCAGCCGCGGUAAUACGGAGGGUGCGAGCGUUAAUCGGAAUUACUGGGCGUAAAGCGUACGCAGGCGGUUUGUUAAGCGAGCUGUGAAAGCCCCGGGCUCAACCUGGGAACUGCAUUUCGAACUGGCAAACUAGAGUGUGAUAGAGGGUGGUAGAAUUUCAGGUGUAGCGGUGAAAUGCGUAGAGAUCUGAAGGAAUACCGAUGGCGAAGGCAGCCACCUGGGUCAACACUGACGCUCAUGUACGAAAGCGUGGGUAGCAAACAGGAUUAGAUACCCUGGUAG